GGGCUCGUCGUCUAACGGGAAGACGCUGCGCUUGCAACGCGGAGAUCAGGGUUCGAUUCCCUGCGUGGUCCACCA
RNAcentral lists this transfer RNA (75 nucleotides) under Deltaproteobacteria bacterium. RNAcentral describes it as "tRNA-Ala". It matches the Rfam family "tRNA". Rfam says of the family: Transfer RNA (tRNA) molecules are approximately 80 nucleotides in length. Their secondary structure includes four short double-helical elements and three loops (D, anti-codon, and T loops). The record is from RNAcentral. Lineage: Bacteria; Pseudomonadati; Myxococcota; Myxococcia. RNAcentral also lists the same sequence under 1 other name.